This is an RNA transcript of Anneissia japonica, 8639 nucleotides long. It is a transcript of the gene named xylosyltransferase 1-like, with no coding region annotated. The record is from RefSeq and is a predicted model, not a curated record. The transcript is spliced from 11 exons. NCBI's taxonomy places the organism in Eukaryota, Metazoa, Echinodermata, Crinoidea, Comatulida, Comatulidae.
GCUGUGCGUGUGCGAUCGACGGACGUUCAAGAAACCACGGUGGUGUGUGCAGUGCAUAACCUUCAAUACGUCGUGUGUGCUGGUGCUAUGCUGAGUUGUUUCGUGUGUUACACGUAUACUAAAAUACUUUCAUGUUGACAUGAAAGUUGCUCUAGUUUUACUUGUUUCUGCUGAUGAGUAUGGCGGUGAACGGUGCUCGUCAUCGUUCUUCGAUUCGCCUCUGUUUUCGAUACCGUUUCAUUCUCUACACUGCGCUGUUGAUUCUGUUCCUACAAUUCAUUUUCUACCUAAAGUUUUCAACUUUGGAUGGCAUGGACUUUGAAAGUGACAGCAAUAACAACAAGCGUUUCAAUCGAGAGGCAGUGCAUGGGGGAAACCCACAUGAGUUACCUGAAACCGAUAGUAAUAAUAAGAAUGUGUAUUCUGCUAGGCAUAAGCCAAGGCCUAGGCCUGAAUUUCGUAAACCAGCAUCCAGUAAAGAUAAAGGUACCAAGAAGAAAAACCCUGUCCACUCUGCACAUGUCCAGUCUGCGAUGAACGAUGAAUUGAAUUUUGCUAAAAAAGAGGAAAAUUUUCAUGCAAAUGACAGUAAAUUAUUUUCAAAGAAAAAUAAAGUCUCCUUAAAAAAGGAUAGUGAGAAACAGACUGCUGUAAAUAAUAUAAACACUAAACAUAAAGAGAGUUAUAGGAACAAUAACGUGUUUACAAAUGAAACAAGGACUAAUAAGUACUUACCAAAAUGUGCGAUACAAAAUAAAGACGCUAUUUCGGCUUUGAGCCGGGCAACCACAGAUGACUGUAAGCAACGUAUUGCAGAUGUAGUCUGCCAGGUGCAAGAUAACAAGCUUUAUCCUAAAACACUUCCAAGAUAUUGUCCACUUAAAGGAAAAGCUUCAACUCAAAUUGAACAGGAUGACCUGUUCACCACCGACACAGAAUCUCCAGUGCGUAUUGUGUACGUUCUAGUGGUGCACGGACGUGCACUUCGACAGGUUUCUCGUUUGAUCAAGGUGUUAAAUGAUUCACGACAUUAUUUCUAUAUUCAUGUAGACGUGAGGUCUGAUUAUCUCCACCGUGAGCUUAGCAAAAUAGCCAAGAACCUGGAUAACGUCCGACUGACACCUUGGAGGAUGGCAACGAUUUGGGGAGGAGCCAGUCUCCUUCAGGUGCUUCUCAAGUGUAUGGACGACCUCCUAAAUAUGCCCGAAUGGAAAUGGGAUUUCUUCAUCAACCUCAGCGAAUCUGAUUUUCCCAUCAAGUCCAAUGACAAAGUUGUUGCAUUUCUAACCAAGUACAGAAAAUACAAUUUUCUGAAGUCUCAUGGUAGAGAUGAUGUCAGGUUUACCAAGAAGCAGGGGUUAGACCGAACCUUUUACGAGUGCGACGCACAUAUGUGGCGCUUAGGAGAACGUGAACUUCCUAAAGGUAUCGUGGUGGAUGGAGGAUCUGAUUGGAUCGUUGUGAACCGAGAGUAUUGCCAGUACUUGAUCACAGCUGACAACGAAUUAGUUAUUGGGUUGAAACAUCUUUACAAGUACACUCUGCUACCAGCUGAGUCAUUUUUUCACACAGUACUUGAAAACUCUGAACUGUGCGAAACAUUUGUAGACAAUAACUUACGUGUCACCAACUGGAAACGCAAGUUGGGAUGUCAGUGCCAACAUAAACACAUCGUUGAUUGGUGUGGUUGUUCACCAAAUGACUUCAAGCCAGACGACUUCAACAGAUUAAAGACAAGCAGACCCACAUUUUUUGCCAGAAAGUUUGAAGCUGUUAUCAAUCAAGCAAUCAUAAAUCGUGUUGAAGCUUGGAUGUAUCGGGAGUAUCCUAGAGGUACAGCCGGUCUACGAACAUACUGGCAAAGUUUAUAUCAUAUAGAAGACACUGUGACCAAAGUUACAGACACAGCAAUGACAUUUUAUCAAGCAUUUGUGAGAAUGGCUGCCGUACAUAUACAGUGGGUUGCCAGGGCUAAUGUUCACACAAGUAGUUGUCGUUUCAAAUUCAGCUCCACUCCGACAGAGGUUAGUUUAAUCAAAAUGUCUGACGAAUUCAAAGGGAUUAUUAUCACGCUGGAGACGCGUCUCGAGUCGGGGGAAACUGAAACAAUCGAAGGAUUAUUCACGCCACAACUUUGGCAGAAGACUGUAAACCCAAUUGGACCGGCAGGUCGUCUAAUAACAAUGGAAGUUGGGUCAGAAUACGAUGCCAAAGAACAAGUCUUCCGUAACUAUGGAAACCUUUUGGGAACCCUUGAUGAGCCGAUUAUUCUCAUGAAAUGGGGAGAAGGGGAAGUAUACACAAUCACAAUCACAUGGAUUGAUCCCACCAAUCAAAUCGCAGCAUCAUUUGACACCACAGUUGAUAGCGAUUGUGAUGAAAUGCAUCAUAAACCGGAAUUUAAUAAGCCACUAAGACCUGGGAAAUGGACCAUCAAAAUGCUUUACCAGUGGAUGGUUGUGGCCGAGACAAAUUUUCUGGUCAUACCGCUGGCUGUAAAAUAUGGUGAACCAAUAACCGAACAUGAUGCAGAAUCCACUAAUAGCGGGCCACCUCGUAAUAGCUAUGUGGAUCGUGAUUUCACAAGUAUGAAAACAAUAUUUCAGUUAGCUGAUUCGGAAUCGAUUGUUGAACUUGCAAACGAAAAAGGGAAGAAAACCGGAGAGGAUUUGCACAGCUGGGUUGAUGAGCUUGUUGGAACUUUUUGGAUAAUGGGUGGUUUUUGUAUGGACAUCUUAAAUUCCAAUGGUGCUGUUUGCAAAGGUCUUACUAAAUGUCGCGAUGUUCACUGGAGCACAAAAUCACCGGAUCCAAAGUCUGACCUCACCAUCCCUAAACAUCAACCAUAAUCUUAUGUACUUAACAUGUAAUGAGAAAUUUUAAAAACCUUUCAUAAAACCAAAUAUAUGCAGAGUUUUUAGCCCUAUCCACACUAUCAAUUUUUAUACAAGUACCUAUGAUUUGCCCAUUUAUGAAUGUGAAACCUUCUUAUAAUAAUGUACAGAUUACCAGCAAUGGCCAUACUUGUUGAGACGAACAAUAAGCAAAGAACCCUGUAUUUCCUCUCAACAGUGUUUAUCUUUUACAAUACCGUAUAUACUUGCGUAUAAGAUAAGACUUAAAAUAGAAAAUUCCGGUCGAAAAACGAGGUCAUCUAAUACGCGCGAAAAACAAAUUUUAGAUUUUUAAAAUCAUGUUGGUCUUUUGUCUUUUAACAUGCGAAUUUAAUACUGCAAUGAAGCUACUAAAAUGUUAGUAGGCCUAUGAAUGAACGAAUUUUAAAUACGGGGAAGUAAGCUUUUGAUGAACAUAUAAAAUCUUAUAAAAUGCAGCAAAAUGUAUGAAUUCCGACGGUGAAACGGGAGGGGAGGCGCAUCUUAUAUGCCCGAUGUACAAAAAUCGUCUUAUACGCGGGUCGCCUUAUAUGCGAGUGUAUACGGUACUUAUAUGACAUCAUGUCCAUAUUUGGGUAAUUUACACAAAUUCACAUAAACUUUGAUAGUUUUGAUAGAGCUUAAAUCGCUGUCCACCUAUCAAAUUUUCUUUGACAAAAAACUGUUGUAUGCCCAUAUUUAGUCGUGAUGUGCCUAUAUAUGGGCAUGAUGUGAUGUCAUCAUGACCAUAUAUAGGCAUGUCACAUGUUUUUGUCAAAUACAAUUUGAUAGUGUGCACAUGGCUUAAGAAGAAAUUUGUACAGUAUUUUCAUAAAAAAAAGAAACUUAAGGAUACAGCCAGAUUUGGAUACGUCUGCUGUUAAAAUCGUUGGGGAAAACAGCUAAUGAAUUUGGCUAAAAAAAAAAGCAAGUAUUAUUUAUGUUUGUGGCUGUUUCCCUAUUGUGUUGUUCAACUGUGUUUGUGUUGAAUAUGCGCUGUGUACAUUCAUGAAUAUUAAUGUUUUAGUGAAUAUUCAUUAAUAUAUUUAAUGAAUAUACAUAGACAUUUUGCAGGAAGAUUGUUUUAUAUAUAUUUCAGUAAAUAUAUUUUUUUUCUUAUUUCUACCUCUUUGAUAAUAUAAAUUGCUUCCUUUACCCAGGAAAAUGGAAGCUUGAAUUAACUAAUGUCUAUGAACUUUAAGGAAAAUGUUAGUUUUCAUAAAAAGGAAUAUAAAAUAAAUUUAAUUUUAUAAGUAAAAAUGAAAAGUGGUACACUAAACAGGUAUCUAAAUAUUAAGAUACUAAUAUGACCUUUGACUUCUUUCCGAGGUGGAUUUCUUUUUGAGGCUACUUUUGCUUCAAUUCGAGAUGGGCUUCUUCUCAAGAUGAAGCCCAUUGGGCUUCUAUUCAGGGUUUUACUGUAUAUGAUUUAUUAGCAUAUUGGACAUAUUGGCUACAUACUGAACAAACAUAUUUUUAAAAAGAAGUUAAAAAAAAUCAAAUUCCAACUUAUAUAGGAGACCUGUCAUUAUAACUCAACAUUUAUUUUUAUAUUUGAGUGUCCAUAUGUACAUUUUGCUGAUUUUAUUAGAGUUGUGUCUAUAUUUUGCAAGUUAUUUUUCUCAUUAUACCUCGUUGAAUUCUUAGUUUGCACACAUGCUAAACAAAAAUAAUAUACCCGCCAAUUACCCGCCAAUAAUUUUAAGUUUAUUUUACACAUGUUUUUUUAGUUGUCAAUGUAUGUGAGGGCUUGUGCAUACACCAGGGAACAAUUAAGUAUAUUACAUUUCUCCACAAAUUUAAUGUUUUCUUAAAUAAUUUCUUUAAAUAUUCAGUAUUCAAAGUGUUGGACAAGAUGGACUGUUCUUAGAUUUAAUAACAUUUUACUUUUUUAUAGCAACAAUAUUUGAUAUUAUUUUAAAAGUUUUUAUUUAACUCAUCUUUAUUUUUUAAAUCUGAUAUUUAAUUUUUUUCUAUAGUUUUGCAAAUAUUUUCCAUUUAAUAUAUUUCAUUUCUAGAUAAUAUUUUUGCUUUUAAAGAUUAUGACAUAUUGCUCACAUAGGUAUGGCAUCUAGAUGGCUGAAGUAGCACUCUCAGAGUUGUAUAAUAAUGUGAUUCUUUAUUUUGAGACCCACUGAAAAACACUGGCAGCCUAAAUUUGUGUCAUGACCCACAGUUUAGGAAGCAGUGCUCUUAGAGUUUUGUCCAACUUACAACAAAGACACGCUUUCUUUCAGAUUUUUGUGAAAAAAAGCACUGAUGGCGUUGUCGGGUAGGCCUUGCCUAGCCGUUGAGGAGCCACAGUAAAACCUGAUGGGGAAAAUGAAACAUGGUGGGGGGGGGGUGUGGCCCAUCUGUCAGGAACGAUGGGACAUCCGUUGGGGAAUAGAUGGUGCCGCCCCUGAACAACAUCAGACAAAGUUGAAGCACUGUUCGUUGAAGAUUAAGCCCAUAAUACACACUCAAUUUUUAUGUAAUAAUUAUGUUUGUGUAUAUAGCCCAAAAAUGGGCAUGAUUAUGUCAUAUCUUACCCAUAUAUGGGCAUGAUGAUGUCAUAUCACCCAUAUGGGCAUGAUGUCAUUUCACACCCAUAUAUGGGUAUGCUGAUGUCAUAUCACACCCAUAUAUGGGCAUAGAUGUCAUAUCACACCUAUAUAUGGGCAUGAUGAUGUCAUAUCACCCAUAUAUGGGCAUGAUGUCAUAUCACACCCAUAUAUGGGCAUGAUGAUGUCAUAUAACUCAUACAUGGGCAUGAUGUCAUUUCACACCCAUAUAUGUGUAUGAUGGUUUCAUAUCACCCAUAUAUGGGUAUGAUGAUGUCAUAUCACACCCAUAUAUGGGCAUGUCAUAUCACACCCAUAUAAGGUCAUGAUGAUGUCAUCACACCCAUAUAUGGUAAAUUAUAGUUUUUAACACGUAGAUAGCUUAGAUAGAGCCUUAAAGAUUCAAAUGAUAAUGUGUAAAAUGCUAUCAUAUUUUUAUCUCUGCCUGGCACAACAUAUUUUAUGAUGAUUCCUAUAUGAUAUUUGAUAUUUAUUUUAUGUAUUUUGUACAGCUUUGUAUAUUUUUUCUGUAAUGUAAGAAGACUGGACAUACUGAGCAUUAGAUUAUUUUGAAGAAUGGUGGUAACUAUGGCAUAAGUAAUUAUUAACUUUACAAUUUACAAUGUUAAUUAUUAUUGUAACGAUGUAAAUUGUUUGCCUUUUUGUUUACAGUGGACAAGUGUGUCAUAUCUAAACUUGUCAACUGAAUUGAGUAAAUUUUGGGUUUCUGUUUUAAAAUUUAAAUUAAGAAUAUAUUUUUCUCCCAUUUUUAGACUAAAAAGGCUUGACAUUUACAUUGUUGCUAUAGCAAUGGGACACGAUAUGAAAUGAUUUGAUUCGAAUAAUAAUAUUGAUUAUUAUUGUUAUUACUAAUAACACCAUCAUUAUCAAUAAUUAUCAUCAUUAUUUUCAUUAUUAAAAUUGUUGAUGUCGUUGAAUUAUUCGUUGUUGUUAUAUCAAGAAGACCAAAUGUAAUCAUUUCAUUGCACUAUUAAAGUUAUUGUUGUUGUCACUAUUAACCUUGCUACCAUCAAGAAGACCACAUUUGGUUUUUUGAAAUAUGUUAUAAUAAACAAUUACUAUAGGUGUAUCCUAUACACUACACUAGACUAGUGAAUUAGGGCAUGAAAAAAAAUUGCCCAAAUGGCACACACAAACUGAAGUAUGAUUUUUAAUGCAUUUGUGAGCUGUCGUGACAAAAUAAGUCAUGUGGUACAAAAAAUUAUAAAUGAGUUAUUGAUAUAUUUAGAUAGAUGAAUAGAUAUGCUUUCUUUUUGGUCUUUGAAUCAUGUUCUUAGGUUGAGUAAGAUCAUUUGAAGUUCAGAUGUCUAAAAACAUAAUCUAAUGUUGGCUCUAAAGAUAAACAACUGAUAAAUUUGUGUUGUUUUUUCUAAUCAAUUCUGAAAAAUAGCUUUACAAAACGUGCCUCAAAAACAUGAUUACCCUUGAUAACUCAUCUCAAAACUUUUGCUACUAUGAAAUAUACAUAUUAUACUAAUCAGAAAAACUGAAACAAAAUUUCUGUCAAAAUAUCACUUCAGAUAUAUUUUCUUUAAUAUAUCAAAUUAACCUGGCGUACCACAACUCAUUUUGUCACGACAGCAUUUAUUUUCUAUUCUAUGUGUUACAUUCUCCUGUUGUGUAUUGAAAUAUGACUAUACUAAUUGCUUUGCAAGUCAGUCACCUCCGCUUUACAAUUCUUAACUGUUGCCUGGAAUCAAAGAUCUUAUACAUGUAAUAACAAGAUGGAAUUCUCCACUAUUUCUACAUGCAAAUUCUGUAACAACAUAAGGGCGCCCUCUCACAAUUAGAAUUACUUUUCAACUUCGACAUCAACAAUCUUUAAAGAGGUGCAUUCUGCAGUUUCUGUGUGCAAAUUUUGUAACAACCAUUGUAACCACUAGGACACCCUUUUUCAAAUACAAUUAAUUUUUAUGGUUCUUUUUACUGAACCACAACGCUUCAGUUUGUUACGCGUAGACUAGCGGAGAGUGCUAUCUUGCUAUUAUAAGAUCUUUGCCUGGAAUAUGUUGACAAAAGGUCUAGUCAAAGAUUCUCCCUCCAAAAGAUCACAUAAAGAAUAAUGAACUCAUUAUGGGAUUAUUUUUUUAUGUUCAUAAGUGAGUGCAUACACAGUGCAUGUUUUGUACUCUUGUAAAAAUAAUUAUAAAAAUGGAUUUCCUCUAAUAGUUAUUAUUAAUAUUGUACAUGUUUUUGUUACUAUUAAAAUUAUAUUCAUUAAUAUUUUUAAUGAUUUUGAAACUGGCAUUAUUACAAUACUUGGUCAAUUGAUAUUUUUAUUUUAUUAUAAUAUCUGUAAAAUCUCGAAAAGAAGUCCUGGGAUUCAUCCUUCUUUUUAGGACCAUUGGAUCCGCCUCUUUUUGAGAUGGGCUGCUUUUCAAGAUUCUGUUUAAUAUUUUUUUAUUUUUAACUUUUUGCAAUAAAAUAUUUUGAUACAGAUUACGCUAUCAUAAUCUUCAAAUAUAAUGUCAGUCUGAAUGUAGUCUCGAAAGAAGCCCAUAGUAUCUUGAUUAGAAGCCUAUAUGCUUCUUUUCGAGAUGGGCUUCUUUUAGAGAUUACUCUUGCAAACUAAAGAGGGGGUGGGGUGGGGCUCCUUUUCGAGAUGUGCUUCUUCUUGAGAUAACCCCAUAGGGCUUCUAUUUGAGUUUUUACAGAAUUUAAAACGUGUUGUUCACAUCCAAAAGUGUGUGACUUGCCACCAAGUCCUGCCCACACUAUCAAGUUUAUGUAACAAAUGUGCAUUUAAUUUGUCCAUAUAUUGGCAUGAUGAUGUCAUGUAACUUCCAUAUAUGGGCAGGUACAGGUAUUGUCACUAAAAAUAUAUGAUAGCGUGUGACAGAGCUUUUCACAAAAAUUGUUAUUGAUUGUUGUUGUGUUCUUACAAAUACUAUUUUUAUUAUUGGUGAUAUUUUUCUUAUUACCGACAUACUUAAAUUGUAAAAGGUUAUUUAUAUUGUAUAUUAUGUUUUAUGUUUACGUUAAUUUUUGGUGCUAUCGGAAUAAUAAGAAUAGAAUAAUUUUUAUAAUUGAUAAAAUAAUGUAGUUUAAUUAGAUUUUUAAAUGCAUGCUACUGAUGUAGUUUUUAAUGUUCUGAGACUAAUUUCUUAGUUGAAUUUCUGUAAUAUAUAAUGUAACACCAACCAUAACAAUUUUUUUGGAAAUUAUAAAAUAACAUGAUAAUAAAAUGAUUUUUGUAAAACAG